Molecule: non-coding RNA, 77 nt
Organism: Serratia fonticola
Lineage: Bacteria; Pseudomonadati; Pseudomonadota; Gammaproteobacteria; Enterobacterales; Yersiniaceae
Source: Rfam
CUGAGCGGAGUGCGGUGAAAGUCGCACGCUCCGUUCUUAGGGGAGGAUGGGCCAGUAAUGGCCUGCCCUUACCCGAC